UUGAAGAAUUUUCUCAAACAGGUGGAGGAUGAUCCUGUAGAACUUGCCAAUGAGUAUGCGGAAUAAGCAAAAUCAGAAGCUCCAAAGUUCACUCCGUCGAAAACAAACGCCAAUGAGUUUAUUGGCUGUGUAGCUGCAAUGAACUGAUGAAUUUCCAAAGAAAGAGGAGAAUUAGAUGAGUUCAUCAAUGGCAUUAGAAGGAAGAAACCGAGAUGAUGCAGAUUUUGCAUGCAAGUGCAUGGUGGUUGCUCAAAGAUCUCUGCAACCUUGGUUCCAUGUUAUCUUUGAGGUCUUAUAUAUCAAUGGAGAUAUUGUCUCGCUUAUACCCAUGAUCCUUAGCCAAUGUUGGCUUAGUCGUAUUCUCAAUAAUUUUCGUCUCAAAUAAAUUGCCAUU
Molecule: non-coding RNA, 394 nt
Organism: Benincasa hispida (wax gourd)
Lineage: Eukaryota; Viridiplantae; Streptophyta; Magnoliopsida; Cucurbitales; Cucurbitaceae
Source: RefSeq, a predicted model, not a curated record